AAGUAACAAAUGCCCUGCUUCCAGGAAAAGCCUCUAAGCAUCAGGUAACAUCAAAUCGUACCCCAAACCGACACAGGUGGUCAGGUAGAGAAUACCAAGGCGCUUGAGAGAACUCGGGUGAAGGAACUAGGCAAAAUGGUGCCGUAACUUCGGGAGAAGGCACGCUGGUGUGUAGGUGAAGUCCCUGCGGAUGGAGCUGAGACCAGUCGAAGAUACCAGCUGGCUGCAACUGUUUAUUAAAAACACAGCACUGUGCAAACACGAAAGUGGACGUAUACGGUGUGACGCCUGCCCGGUGCCGGAAGGUUAAUUGAUGGGGUUAUCCGUAAGGAGAAGCUCUUGAUCGAAGCCCCGGUAAACGGCGGCCGUAACUAUAACGGUCCUAAGGUAGCGAAAUUCCUUGUCGGGUAAGUUCCGACCUGCACGAAUGGCGUAAUGAUGGCCAGGCUGUCUCCACCCGAGACUCAGUGAAAUUGAACUCGCUGUGAAGAUGCAGUGUACCCGCGGCAAGACGGAAAGACCCCGUGAACCUUUACUAUAGCUUGACACUGAACAUUGAGCCUUGAUGUGUAGGAUAGGUGGGAGGCUUUGAAGCGUGGACGCCAGUCUGCGUGGAGCCAACCUUGAAAUACCACCCUUUAAUGUUUGAUGUUCUAACGUUGGCCCCUUACCGGGGUUGCGGACAGUGUCUGGUGGGUAGUUUGACUGGGGCGGUCUCCUCCCAAAGCGUAACGGAGGAGCACGAAGGUUAGCUAAUCCUGGUCGGACAUCAGGAGGUUAGUGCAAUGGCAUAAGCUAGCUUGACUGCGAGCGUGACGGCGCGAGCAGGUGCGAAAGCAGGUCAUAGUGAUCCGGUGGUUCUGAAUGGAAGGGCCAUCGCUCAACGGAUAAAAGGUACUCCGGGGAUAACAGGCUGAUACCGCCCAAGAGUUCAUAUCGACGGCGGUGUUUGGCACCUCGAUGUCGGCUCAUCACAUCCUGGGGCUGAAGUAGGUCCCAAGGGUAUGGCUGUUCGCCAUUUAAAGUGGUACGCGAGCUGGGUUUAGAACGUCGUGAGACAGUUCGGUCCCUAUCUGCCGUGGGCGCUGGAGAAUUGAGGGGGGCUGCUCCUAGUACGAGAGGACCGGAGUGGACGCAUCACUGGUGUUCGGGUUGUCAUGCCAAUGGCACUGCCCGGUAGCUAAAUGCGGAAGAGAUAAGUGCUGAAAGCAUCUAAGCACGAAACUUGCCCCGAGAUGAGUUCUCCCUGAGACUUUAAGUCUCCUGAAGGAACGUUGAAGACGACGACGUUGAUAGGCCGGGUGUGUAAGCGCAGCGAUGCGUUGAGCUAACCGGUACUAAUGAACCGUGAGGCUUAACC
Molecule: ribosomal RNA, 1360 nt
Filed under: Klebsiella pneumoniae
Lineage: Bacteria; Pseudomonadati; Pseudomonadota; Gammaproteobacteria; Enterobacterales; Enterobacteriaceae
Description: bacterial LSU rRNA
Rfam family: Bacterial large subunit ribosomal RNA
Source: RNAcentral